GCAAAGCGAAAUAAAGAUUGUGAGUUUAGGAGAUGAUUUAGGCAUUUCUUUGAUAGCCAUUGUCCAUACCUUCUUUUGACUUACCUUUGAACAUUAUCUUAGCCCCGUUGAGCCUUUAGCUUGUUCUUUUGUUAUCCUCAUAUGUAGCCUUAUCCGUUCUUUAAUAGACCGUAAUUUGAUCCAAAAGCUCCUAAGCACUUUAAUGUAAAAUCAUUUUGAGUUAGGAGUUUGACA
RNAcentral lists this long non-coding RNA (234 nucleotides) under Capsicum annuum. Its description in RNAcentral is "long non-coding RNA (CANN_LNC011240)". The record is from RNAcentral. Lineage: Eukaryota; Viridiplantae; Streptophyta; Magnoliopsida; Solanales; Solanaceae.